Molecule: ribosomal RNA, 253 nt
Filed under: uncultured bacterium
Lineage: Bacteria
Description: partial 16S ribosomal RNA
Rfam family: Bacterial small subunit ribosomal RNA
Source: RNAcentral
GACAGAGGGGGCAAGCGUUGCUCGGAAUUACUGGGCGUAAAGGGCGCGUAGGCGGAAUGGCAAGUCGGUCGUGAAAUCCUUCGGCUCAACCGAAGAACGUCGAUCGAAACUGCCGUUCUUGAGGAUUGCAGAGGAGACUGGAAUUCCCGGUGUAGCGGUGAAAUGUGUAGAGAUCGGGAGGAACACCCGUAGCGAAGGCGGCACUCUGGGCCGAUACUGACACUGAGGAGCGAAAGCGUGGGGAGCGAACAGG